RNAcentral lists this unclassified non-coding RNA (211 nucleotides) under plant metagenome. RNAcentral's name for it is "partial contains small subunit ribosomal RNA and internal transcribed spacer 1". The stretch from base 1 to 46 matches the Rfam family "Eukaryotic small subunit ribosomal RNA", at positions 1786 to 1831 of the family's 1831-position model. The record is from RNAcentral.
AAGUUGUAACAAGGUUUUCGUAGGUGAACCUGCAGAAGGAUUAUUACCUUUCUGGCUAUUUAAUAGCUUGUCUAGAGGCUGUAGUUUCUGCAGUUUCUAACUACAUCUGUGUUUUUUGCGUAUUACAUGUUUUCUCAGCGGGCUUGCUUGCUGGUUAGACAAACUAAAACUCUUUGCAAUUGUAAUUAGCGUCUAAAUUAUAUAAUAAUUA